CCUACGGGAGGCUGCAGUGGGGAAUUUUGGACAAUGGGGGCAACCCUGAUCCAGCCAUGCCGCGUGCGGGAAGAAGGCCUUCGGGUUGUAAACCGCUUUUGUCAGGGAAGAAAUCUUCCGAGCUAAUACCUUGGGAGGAUGACGGUACCUGAAGAAUAAGCACCGGCUAACUACGUGCCAGCAGCCGCGGUAAUACGUAGGGUGCAUGCGGGGAUUGGAAUUACCGGGCGCAAAGCGUGAAGAGGCGGUUGAAAUCCCCGGGCUUAACCUGGGAACUGCACUUGUGACUGUACGUCUGGAGUACGGCAGAGGGGGAUGGAAUUCCGCGUGUAGCAGUGAAAUGCGUAGAUAUGCGGAGGAACACCGAUGGCGAAGGCAGUCCCCUGGGCCUGUACUGACGCUCAUGCACGAAAGCGUGGGGAGCAAACAGGAUUAGAUACCCCAGUAGUC
This 450-nucleotide ribosomal RNA is filed under the name uncultured bacterium. RNAcentral describes it as "partial 16S ribosomal RNA". It matches the Rfam family "Bacterial small subunit ribosomal RNA", at positions 338 to 795 of the family's 1533-position model. The record is from RNAcentral.